CCUACGGGUGGCAGCAGUGAGGAAUAUUGGUCAAUGGGCGCGAGCCUGAACCAGCCAAGUAGCGUGAAGGAUGACUGCCCUACGGGUUGUAAACUUCUUUUAUGAAGGGAUAAAGUGAGUCACGUGUGCCUUUUGUAUGUUCUUUAUGAAUAAGGAUCGGCUAACUCCGUGCCAGCAGCCGCGGUAAUUCGGAGGAUCCGAGCGUUAUCCGGAUUUAUUGGGUUUAAAGGGAGCGUAGAUGGGUUGUUAAGUCAGUUGUGAAAGUUUGCGGCUCAACCGUAACAUUGUAAGUGAUACUGGCAGCCUUGAGUACAGUUGAGGUAGGCGGAAUUCGUGGUGUAGCGGUGAAAUGCUUAGAUAUCACGAAGAACUCCGAUUGCGAAGGCAGCUUACUAAACUGCCACUGACACUGAUGCUCGAAAGUGUGGGUAUCAAACAGGAUUAGAUACCCGAGUAGUC
This 459-nucleotide ribosomal RNA is filed under the name uncultured bacterium. RNAcentral's name for it is "partial 16S ribosomal RNA". It matches the Rfam family "Bacterial small subunit ribosomal RNA", at positions 338 to 795 of the family's 1533-position model. The record is from RNAcentral.